This 401-nucleotide unclassified non-coding RNA is filed under the name soil metagenome. RNAcentral describes it as "partial contains 5.8S ribosomal RNA, internal transcribed spacer 2, and large subunit ribosomal RNA". The stretch from base 1 to 121 matches the Rfam family "5.8S ribosomal RNA", at positions 35 to 154 of the family's 154-position model. The record is from RNAcentral.
GAUGAAGAACGUAGCGAAAUGCGAUAAGUAAUGUGAAUUGCAGAAUUCAGUGAAUCAUCGAAUCUUUGAACGCACCUUGCGCCCCUUGGUUAUUCCAAAGGGCAUGCCUGUUUGAGUAUCAUGAACACCUCAACUCUUGUGGUUUCCCACAAUGAGCUUGGACUGUGGAGGUUUUGUUGGCCCUGUGGUCAGCUCCUCUCAAAUGGAUCAGCUUACCGGUGUUUGGUGGCAUUACGGGUGUGAUAACUAUCUACGCUUGUGGUCGUCUCCAAAUAACCUCCAGUGAUGGAGGUUCGCUGGAGCUUAUAAAUGUCUCUCCCCAGUGAAGACAGCCUUUGAACGUUCGAUCUCAAAUCAGGUAGGACUACCCGCUGAACUUAAGCAUAUCAAUAAGCGGAGGA